AGCACAUGGUGAGGGCAUCUUUUCAAGAGGUCCUUGUAUCUCUCCUAUGCAUCAUAGAGUGUCUCUAGAUCCAUCUGCACAAAAGAAGAGAUAUCAUUCCUCAAUUU
RNAcentral lists this small nucleolar RNA (107 nucleotides) under Gossypium arboreum. RNAcentral describes it as "Plant small nucleolar RNA R71". It matches the Rfam family "Plant small nucleolar RNA R71". Rfam says of the family: R71 is a member of the C/D box family of snoRNAs containing the C (UGAUGA) and D (CUGA) box motifs. Multiple nearly identical copies of this snoRNA have been identified in Arabidopsis, and it is thought to function as a 2'-O-ribose methylation guide for 18S ribosomal RNA. The record is from Rfam by way of RNAcentral. Lineage: Eukaryota; Viridiplantae; Streptophyta; Magnoliopsida; Malvales; Malvaceae.